AUUUUUUUUUUUUUUUUUUUUUUUAAGUUUUAAUUUGUUGUAAUGUUGAUUCUGUCUGUUCGAGUGGGAUGUGUAUACACUUCAGCACAACAUAGUCAUCUUCUUUUUUUUUUUUAAUUAAAGUCUUUAUUUUACAAGAAUGUUUCAUUUUAAUGUUGAAAGAUUUCAAGUUUAUAGUUAUUUAAUGCUAAUACCAGUAUACAUCUAGGUUUAAUUUAUGGUAAAUAAUGUCUCUAAUAAUACACACACUGAUAUUACCUUCUUGUAGAAACCUGUUAGAUACACUAAUUAUUAUAUUCUACUUUUAUGUAUUGAGGGACUUCUGAAGCUUUGUAGCAUUGCUUAUUUAAGUCGUUUCCAUUUGUAAAACUUAUAUCUAUUUCUGAAUUUUAAUUUUCCUACAAGGCUUUCAAUACCCCCCCCCCC
This is a non-coding RNA of Biomphalaria pfeifferi, 426 nucleotides long. The record is from the annotation of a GenBank genome assembly. Lineage: Eukaryota; Metazoa; Mollusca; Gastropoda; Planorbidae.